Potamilus streckersoni is the source of this 75-nucleotide non-coding RNA. NCBI's taxonomy places the organism in Eukaryota, Metazoa, Mollusca, Bivalvia, Unionida, Unionidae. The record is from the annotation of a GenBank genome assembly.
GCUCUCCGGUGGCUUAGUGGUUAGAGCAUCCGUCUCGGAUUGGGGAGGUCAUGAGUUCGAUCCCCGGUCGAAUCA